GCCCUAUAUAUGUAAAAUUGUUUUUUAUACAGAUAAUGGAAAGUAUCAUCUGAGAGACGAAUUUGAAUUAUACUUAUUACAAAAUACAAAAUUCACCAUAUAGUAGGGUCUCACACGACUCACAAGAACAUUCCGUUAAAACCUAAACCUGAAAGUGAAGGGCCGUCCUUGAAAAGCGAAGAAAGCACUCUGUCUUUUUUGAACACGACACUAUAAAAAUUGGGCCUAGAAGCAUAGCGGGUUUUCCUAAACAGAACCUGCCAAAAAGUUUGAGCUAAGAUUUAUCAAAAAACAAUGUCACUUCUAGUUAGUCAUAUGGACCAACAGAAAGCAACUGUCCUAAUUAAUACAUUUGUCCCGCUGUCUUGGAUAGCUUGCAUGAAAAAAUAGAUAUUAAUUAGCCAACAUUUGCUACAUGAUACUAAAAAUAAAGUCACACUGGUGGCACAUACUAGAAAGGGUCCAAUCCAUUCUCACGGUCGUUCAGUGAUUUUCUAUCCAGCGAACGAUCCAACGUCAGUCGCCCACCCUUCUUCCUCCACUUCUCUUUCCAUCUACUUUUGACGUCAUCAUGAAAAAAAGCAAAAUAUUUAUUUCAAAUUACUAUAACUUUUGAAUGAUGUAUCUAUUUUUAAUUCUGUUUACACCGAUGUGUUCAACGUGACGAGGCAAACAAAACUAGACCCCACUUCUAUAUUUUUGAAGAUUUUUAUUUUUCUAGUAGCAAUUUAUGUAUAUUAACUUAUAACAUAUAAGUUAUAUUGCUAACUUAUUCUGCUAAGUUAUGCUGCUGACUUGUUCUGCUAAGUGUAUUGUAUAACUUCUGUUUGUGUAUAAUAACCGCGUAACUUUCUAUAAGCACUAGUGUAUUAGUUGUGUGACUUAUGUACAUAAGUUGUAUUGUGUAACUUAUGUCUCCCUCUAUUCCAAAUUAUAAAAUAUUUUGACAUUUCUACAUAUAUUGAUUUUGCUAUGUGUAUACAUAUAUAGUUGUGUCUAGAUACAUAGUAAAUUCAAUUUAGAAAAGUCAAUAUGCCUUAUAAUUUGAAAUAGUGGGAGUAAACUUUUGUACAUAAGUUAUAUACUAUAACUUUUUGAGAACGACUAAGUUAGCAAUGUUGAGUUAUUCCUUGAACUUAUGUUGUCUAGAAGCACUUCUAAGUUAGUACUGUUAAAUUUAUCGUGAAAGUUAUGCUUUUUAAUUCCGUUUUAUAAGUUAUGAGUACAUGAUUCUUAAAAAAAAUAAAAAAUAUAUUAAAGGGCGGGUGAUUUAGCAAAAGAAAGUGAAAAGAGAUUCGAAUGCCUCAAAAGAGAAAGAGGAACGAUUCUUGUUCUAUGCAAAAAUAGAAAGUAACAUAUACACUUUCCAAAAAAGGAAAGAAAAUGACUGUCUGAAAUUAACCGUUGCUUUCGCUUCUACUGAACGUUCGUGAAAUAGUGGCAUCGGUUGCCGUGGUUUGUGACAAAUUUCUAGAAGAAAAACUCCUAUUAAAAUAUUCAUUUCUUACUCGAAUGAGAGAACGAUGAUGAAAUAUCUUUUUUGCCCUGGCAUUUUUUACUCCUUUCUUAUUUUUUUUCUCCCUUGCAUGUCACACCCGGUUUUAAAGAACAAAACCAAGCAAGCCAUAUGUGUGCCCAGGAAGUCCACACAUAUAACAACAGAAAGGAAUAGUAUCAGAAAACAAUGUUAUAUAGCGAAAACAUACAUAUAAUAGACACUUACAUCAGAGUAUCGCGGAAUGAUAACUAAU
RNAcentral lists this long non-coding RNA (1751 nucleotides) under Sorghum bicolor (sorghum). Its description in RNAcentral is "long non-coding RNA (SBIC_LNC003791)". The record is from RNAcentral. Lineage: Eukaryota; Viridiplantae; Streptophyta; Magnoliopsida; Poales; Poaceae.